CGCCUCUGUCCGCUGUUUUCAUUCCAUUCCAUACUUGGAACUCCAGCAGCCGAAAAAUGGAGAAGAAGGAAGAAAACAAGCGGCAGAGAAAGAAAAUAAGGGGAGGAUUUUGGAGAUGGGUGAUAGCAUCAGUCAUCUUCAGGCUCAUUCUCAUUUAUUUCCCCCAAAAUCUCAACUUGUCCUCUCGCCCCGAAGUCUCCACUCCUCUCACCAGCCUCCGUCGCCUGGCUGAGGGUUACUGGUUGAAGCAAGCCUCGAUGUCUCCUUAUGCAGGAUCUAUGUACCAUGGUUCUCCAUUGUUACUCUCUGUAGUCGGGCCACUUACUGUUAAAAGAAUUGAAGGGCAACCUGAUCAUGUGUUAUGCAGUUUGCUUUUUGUCAUUGCAGAUAUUAUGAGUGCCAUGCUUCUUAGAGCUACUGGUUGGAAACUACAAGUGGCAUACAGAGAGAGCUUGAAAGCACUUGAUAUCAUUAAUAUACUAGAAAGCUCAGAUAUACUUGCUUCAGGAGAUAUUGCUGCUCUUGUGUACUUAUGGAAUCCGUUCACAAUAGUUGCUUGUGUGGGUUUGUCAACAUCCCCAAUUGAAAAUUUGUUCAUCAUACUGUCAAUUUAUGGGGCCUGUACACGAGUAGUUCCUCUAGCAGCUCUUGGAUGGGCUAUCGCAAGUCAUUUGUCUCUUUAUUCAGCAAUUCUAAUUAUUCCGGUGAUUCUUUUAUUGGGAUAUGGUCUAGAUGCUCCUCCUCGGAAGUUGUUCCUGCAGAAGGGAUUUUAUAAAAUUGGAGACAACAGCUCAAGCAAUAUACAUUGUGAACAAGAGAAAAUGAUCAACCAAUCAAAGCCUCGCAUUAUUUUUUCAUGGAGACCAGUCAUGCUUUUCUUUUUCUGGACAACUCUGUGGUCAGUCUAUGUGUUGGUUCUAUGUGGCAUAUCCGUCAAACAGUAUAGUGGCCUAUGGGAGAUGUUUCAAAGAACAUAUGGUUUCAUUCUUACAGUGGAAGAUAUGUCACCAAAUAUAGGUGUUCUAUGGUAUUUCUUUGCUGAAGUUUUUGAUUUCUUCAGAAAUUUCUUUUUGAUAGUUUUUCAUAUGAAUAUUUUAUUUAUGAUAUUGCCAUUAGCCAUAAGGCCAAGCCACUGGCCCUGCUUCUUCGCUUUUGUCUACAUUGCUAUCUCAUCAAUGCUUAAAUCGUAUCCAUCGGUAAGUUCUUUGUUGUUGCAUGGAUAUUCCAUCUUUUUUUUUUGUCUUAAAACUGUCCUUUUAUUGGGAGCAAAGUGCGUCUUUUCAUCACAUACUAUGGAGCAUUUGCAUUAGAUGAUGUUCGUAUAAAUUUCUGUAUGAUAUUAAGAGAUUGGCAUAAUAUAGAUUCCCAACUACUUGCCUAAAAUUUUUUAUGUUGUAGGUCUGUUUAAUCUUGAUGUUUGGCAGAUAUUGCCUAUUGAUUUUGAUUGUAGCAUACUAUGUCUUCUUCCUUCUGGGGGAUACUAUGAGUAGGGGUGGCCACGGUCCGGUUUCGAACCGAAAUCGAACCGGAACCAGUUCGGUCAAAACCGGACCGAAACCGGUCAAAAUCGGAACCGGCUUCGAACCGGACCGAAACCGUCCUUCUGCGGUUUGGUUCAGGUUCAUAUUUUUUAAGAACCGUGAACCGGCGGUUCCGAACCGGAUUGAACCGACGAUUUCAAACCGGAUUAAACCGGCGAUUUAAAUAUAAAAAAAUUCAAUAAAUAUGUUACCUCACUCCUAAUUCAUUUAUAUAUAUCAUUAAUUCUCUACACAAUUAUUCUCUGCAUUUUCUUCAAUUCUUAAUAUUUUUUCAAUUUUUCUCAAAUUCUCUAAAUAAUUAUUUUCUACACUCAUUUUAAUUUCCAAUACUCUCUCAAUUUUCCUACUUUAUUAUUUUAUAUACUUACUGAAAUUUUCAAUACUAUCUCAAUUACUUUGUUAUUACUUUAAAUCCUCAAUAAAAUUUCCAAUACCCUCUAUUUUAUUUUUUUUUCUCUUUUAUACUUUUUUAAUUAUCGAUUAUCAUAUAAUUUUUUGAAAAAAGGGCAAGCAAUAUAACUGAAAAUUUUGAUUCCUCUAAAUCCUAAAGGGAUAUUUAGGCAAAAUUAAGUUCAUACACUUUUUUCUAAUUUCUUCAAAAAAAAAAUUUAUCUCUAGUUUUUUAAUCAGGUUCAAGUCUUUAUUUAUUAAAUUUUUCUUAAAGAUAAAUUAUUUUCUUUCUUUUUUUUUCUUAUUUUAUUUUGAUUGAAAGAUUUCUAAGAAAAAUUAAAAUAUUUUUACAAAUAUAACUUAAAUUUUGAAUCAAUAAAAUUUUUCUCUAAUUUUUUUUGUCUAAGCUACCCUUAAACCAUCCCUAAACCACUUCCAAACCGUCCUCCAAACUGUCUUGAACCGUUCUUUUUCAAACCGCCUUUUAAACCAUUUUAAACCGGAACUCAAACCGAAACCGACGGUUCAAGAACCGUCUUCCAAACCGUCCCCUAGUGAUUCGGUUCAGGUUCAUGAUUUUAUUGAACCUGAACCGGCGGUUCAGGAACCGUAACCGGCGGUUCCUGAACCGUGGCCACCCCUACUCUAUUGCUCUCCUUUGCCUCCCACAUCACUCUCCAACAGCAGAUUGUGCCACAACUAAAAAGAGAAGUUGGAGUUUUCUUGGAUG
RNAcentral lists this unclassified non-coding RNA (2661 nucleotides) under Hevea brasiliensis (rubber tree). Lineage: Eukaryota; Viridiplantae; Streptophyta; Magnoliopsida; Malpighiales; Euphorbiaceae. The record is from RNAcentral.